Long non-coding RNA from Pristis pectinata (smalltooth sawfish), 5095 nucleotides. RefSeq lists it as uncharacterized. The record is from RefSeq and is a predicted model, not a curated record. The transcript has 4 exons. NCBI's taxonomy places the organism in Eukaryota, Metazoa, Chordata, Chondrichthyes, Rhinopristiformes, Pristidae.
GUUUGGUUCCGGGCGAGAAAGUGGCGCGUUUUACGCCGUUGGCAGGACCACAGCUCGCACAGCUGACACUCAAACCACACUAUGAGCCACAGUGUGUCUCUACACCAUCUGUUACACUAUUGGGCAGCCGUAACUGUCUUCCUCUCUGCCCAUAUUAAAAAGGGUCCUCAUUGUGACACAGAGACAGCAUGCACGGCUUCAUCAGACAGCAAGCAACACUUCUUUUGACUCCAUUUCUUGAAAAUUUUACUACCUCAACAAGCAAGGCAGGUGCCACAGGCCUCACAUACCAAGGAAGCUCAGAGCUGGAAGUUUGAGGCCUACUUCCUGGCCCUACCUGGGCCAUUGCUGGGAGCCUAAGAUGUCCAUCUUCUGGCAGACUCGCAAAGAAAAUGUCCACCCAAAUGGAAUAUGCCAAGAGUUUGAAUUCCAAAUGGUGCUCAGAUUAUGUAGAUGACUCUACCAUUGCCAAAUCAAGAGGGAAAGCUAAUCGUAUUGAAACUCAUAGUUGUGACUUCCUCUCAAAAAUUCUACUUGAACCUUAGAGAAACUGCAUCAAGAGCAUCAACAUUUAUUUCUCACACUAAAUGUUUUUGGGAUGUUGUUUUUCAUGGAUUAGUGCCAGCUUUGUGCAGAAGACCCACAUGCUCAAGAAUUGGAUUCAUUUGGCAGCCAGAGGCUAAGUAUAUUUAUCUUUUAGUUUGAAGUAGAUUCAAGUAUAGGUCACGGGAAUUUAUUAAUCUCUGAAUCAUUCAAUCUCUAUAGUCUAUCAUUUUGAACUAUCCUUCAAGAACAGAUAAAUUUAUAUUUGCAAGCUUUACAAAGUGGUGGCUGAUAUUUUUAGCUUCUCUCAAUCCCUUGAGGUUUGUGUCAGCCCUAGAUCACUAAUUUUGAUAUGAAUUCAAGUUUGGGCUGCUAGGGGAUCCUUUGCAAGGGGUGAAAUUUAAACUAUGUGCUGGUCUGUACUCUUAGCUGCAAAAAAAUUACUUAAGGUCCGAAGGAUAAUUGUUAACAUAAAUUGAGAAACAAUGCAGUCACAUGAAUUGCAGCGUCAAAGUUUAGCUGUAAAUUGAUAAUUUAGAGCCAUCUGUUGUGCAUGUUCAGCAGUUUCUUGUACCUUUCAAAUCAAAGUGAAAUUCUAUUAGAGCUUAUGGUGUUUAGUAAUUUGUAAGCAGUGUCUCAUGUGCUCUGCUAGUCCAUGGCUAUUAUAUAUCCUCUCUAACGUUUAUGCCCUUGUUUCCUUUUGCAGCUUUCUCCAUUUCUUUUGUGAUUAAUCCAAUAACUGAUGUUCUGAAUUCAAAGGUUGUGUGACUAUUUGAUACAAGGGGAUGUGCACUAUUUUUAUCAAUAUAUGGUCUAACAGGUUAAACACUUUAUCUGCAUGCCCAGUGUGCAAGAUAUGAAAUGUAUAAAUGUACAGUCGCAUUGAUAUCUGCACUCCAAUCUCAUUGAAACCUACAAAACUUUAAUGGGACUGGGCAACCUAGAAACAGUAAGGAUGUUUCCAUUAGCAGGAGAGCCCAGGACCAGGAGUCACAGUCUAAGGAUAAGGGGUAAGCCAUUUAAUAUUGAGAUGAGGAGAGCGGUGAAUGUCUGGAAUUCUCAACUACAGAGAGCAGUUGAAGCCAAAACAAUAAAUCUAUUCAAAAAGAUCUAGGGCUAGAGAGAUCAAGGGAUAUAGGGAGAAAACAGGAACAGGGUGCUGAAUUUAGAUGAUAUUGAAUGUGGAGCAGUGUCAAGGGGUUGUCUAUCAUUCUCCUGCUCCUAUUUUUCUGUUUUUUUUAUAUAAUUGUAUGUUUGCAGAAAUUCUCAACUGUAGUUUAACUACUAACUGUUUGAAGAGUGCACAGCAUGGAUAAUAAGCCAGAAGUCGAUGAUAGAUAAAUAGAGUUGAGUCAGCUAAAAUGAGAUUCACAACCUAGAUUUACAAUGCAUUGCAUGAUUAUGUAAUGCUACAUUCCAUUUCUUGCACAUUACACGUCCUCCCCAGGUUACGAAUGCCUGACUUGUGUACAGCUUGUAUAUACGAAUGAGCAAUAGGGAGACCCGCGGGAUGGAUUUGCUGGCUGCAGGCAUCUUCUGGCAUGAAUGAAACAAACCAGUCCUUUAUUUCAUACAGAGCACAGACAUUACAAAGUAUGGAUAAUAGUUUUCCUGAAAGAACAAUAUCAUUGCAUCUUGCAGAAAAAUCUGAAUGGUUGAGUUAAACACCAUAGUUUAACUACAUGUUGCCAUUGGUUGGCCUCUGAUUUUAUUUAACUAUAUUGCCAGGCAGCUGCAUUUCUGAUUUACAAACUGUUCGGGUUACAAAUAUUUCUCAGGAACAGAACCAUGUCGUAACCAGGGGAGGAUCUGUCUAUGUGCAGAUAAAAUGACAUGCGAAACAUACAUAGAUAAAAAUUCCUUCGUACUGAAUGGUCACACAUCAAUUGGAUUCAGAAUACCAGACAUUGGAUACAGUUACAUAAUAUUUAAAUGUGGUUUUAAAAAUUAUGAGAAUUUUAAGAGAAGGAUAGUUAAGUAUUAAGCAGAAAAGGAAUGGAGUAUUAUGCUUAUAGUAUGAGAUAAACUAUGAUAUAAUGACAUAAAUAAGCCUGUACUCAGGUUUGGGCUGGAAGUGAUUUAUUUGGUGCCGGGGUGGUAGUGAAAGCGGAUACAAUAGUGGCAUUCAGGAGGUUUUCAGACAGGCACAUGAAAAUGCAGGGAAUGGAAGAAUAUGGAUCAGGUGCAGGCAAAAGGGAUUAGUUUAAUUUGGCAUUAUGCUUGGCACAGACACCUUGUGCUGAAGGGCCUGUUCCUGUACUGUACUGUUCUAUGUCCUUUCAGGAACUCAGGACAUUCCAAGGUAAUUUAAUGAUUUUUGAAUUAUCACCUCUAUAGUCAUAAUAAUAAUAUAGAAAAUGUAGCAGCCGUAUCACACAUAGCCUGACAUCACAAAUAGCAAUGUUGUUAUGGUCAGAUGGGGAAUGAGAGAUAAGUAUUGGCUAGAAAGUGGAGAAACAUUCUCUGUUCAUCCUCAAACUAUCAUCCAGGAUCUUUUAUCUCCAUUUGAAAGGAUAGAAGGUGGAUUAUUUAUUGUGUCACCCAAAAGCCCAUGUAGCACUCCCUCAGUAUGAUCCUGCAGCAUCAGGGUAGAAUCCAUGCUCAAUGUGUUAAAUAUAGACAUCUUCUGAAUAAAAGUUGCAGCUUAUCAGUAUUUGAUAAAAAUAUGUAACAAUACAUAAAGGAGAAGGGCUGAAGGUACCAGAGGUACAAGUGAAGAUUCAGCAAAAAGUAAAUUAAGAUAGGUGGAAGUAAAUGAAGCAUUUGAGUGAUCUAAAGCUCAUCAAGGUGACAGUGUAUCACUUAGAUGCCCUCAUAUGUCCCACAGUAAAAACAGCAAUGGAUAAGAGUAGAACACUCUUUACAAAAAUUUAAAUCUGCUUUCCAAAACCUACGUGAUAGUUAUCAUGGUCAUUUAUCGUAAAAUGUAAUAUAGAGAAACACUGAUUAUCCACUACUUGAUUGUUUAGAAAUCCCAAUUGUUCGGUGUCUGGCUUACUCAUUAGUACACUAAGUCUUUGCUCUCUGCAGGAUCUACUAUUCUGUGAAUCCGUGUACCAGCAGGAUCAGCUGUGUAAACUGGGUGUGUGGGCCGGGUGUGCAGCUGGAGCUGGGGUUGAAGAUGGAAACACCAACAUGCAAACUGAAACUUACAAACUGGAAACUCACCAAGUUUGAUUUCCCACUCCCCUUAAACUCAUUGGGUCCCCUAGAAAAUGUAUUAUGCUACUGCGUAACAUGUAACAAGUGAAAUAAAUGUGUUGGAGCAAUAGGAAUAGCAUCCAAUAGUCCAAAAAAUCUGAUAGUCCAGCAGACCAAAAUCCUGAAAAUGCUGGAUUAUCAGAGAUCUACUGUGUAUUAUAGCUACUUUACUGUCAGUUCCUUUUAUUAAAGAAUUGCCUCAGUUGUAACCUUACUAACAUGUGCAGGUUGAAACAGCAUGGUCCAACCACAACUAAUGGAGUCAUGAUUGCAACAGUAAAAUAUCCUGAGCACUCUCUCACCCACAUUUCUAGUUUUGGGUGGAAAACAAUAAGACAGCCCUUUUAAAAGGCAGGUGGCACAGUGGCACAGCAGACAGAGCAGCUGCCUUACAGCUCCAGCAACCCAAGUUCGACCCUGGUCUCUGGUGCUGUCAGUAUGGAGUUUGCAUGUUCUUUCUGUGACUGCAUGGUUUCCUCUGAAUACUCAGGUUUUCUCUCAUCGCCCAAAGAUGUACUGGUUAGUAGACUAAUUAGCUUUUGCAAAUUAUCUGUGGUGCAGACGGGUGGAGUUUUUGAAGAAUCAGUGUGCCAUUGAUGGAUAUGUGAGAGAAAAUAGUUUCCAGAGAAAUAAACGGGGGAAUGCGAUUGAUUGGAUUGUUCUGAAUGGUAGCAUAGACUCGAUGAACCAAGUGGUCUCCUUCUAUGUCUUAAGAGAAUAUGAAAAAUGCCAACUUUCUGAACAGCUUAUCAGAAAGUUGGAGCUGAGUACUAUUAAUUCAUCUCUUUUGUGUGCUUGUGAGAGCUAAACAGCACUAAACUAUCGAGAUAUUUAGUACACCAUGGGGAGCAGCAAAACCUUCUAAGCCCAAUCAGUCACUUAUAAUGAUCACUGUGAUCCCUUGGCUGAAUCAGUCAUAACAGGAUUCUCCUCUCUCUUUAUAUAACACAAGCAUUCUGUCUGUUAACAUUAUCAAUCACCCUUCUCUCUGGAACUCCUAAUUAUUUUCAUGAAUGUGGCACUCCACAACAUUGUAAGGGAGAAAAUGGCAGCUGAGCCAUAAAAGGAGACAUUAAGUGAGGACCGAGUUGUUUUGUAGUCUAUAGACUCACCUGUACCAGUGCCCACCUCAUUGGCCCCCCAUGUUAUGACCUUUGUUCACUCGAUCUCCUCCAAAAAUUCUGUUACGCAUAUGGUUCUGAAUCAUUUGGUAAUCUUCAUUUGAUUGUACAACUUAGUCCUGAUUAGUUAGAGCCAAUGGUAUCACAAAGAAUCCUCAAUGCUUCAAAUAGGAUGAAUGGGUGUUGCAAUGUUAACUGGAUUUGUUUCAUUCUACUGUUGUUAUCUAAAA